GAUGAACGCUGGCGGCGUGCUUAACACAUGCAAGUCGAACGGAACUACUCCAAUGAGAGUCUUCGGAAAGGAUUUGGUUUAGUUUAGUGGCGGACGGGUGAGUAACGCGUGGGUAACCUGCCCUAUACAGGGGGAUAACAGUUGGAAACGACUGUUAAUACCGCAUAAGCGCACAGGAGCGCAUGCUCCGGUGUGAAAAACUCCGGUGGUAUAGGAUGGACCCGCGUCUGAUUAGCUGGUUGGCGGGGUAACGGCCCACCAAGGCGACGAUCAGUAGCCGGCCUGAGAGGGUGAACGGCCACAUUGGGACUGAGACACGGCCCAAACUCCUACGGGAGGCAGCAGUGGGGAAUAUUGCACAAUGGGGGAAACCCUGAUGCAGCGACGCCGCGUGAGCGAAGAAGUAUCUCGGUAUGUAAAGCUCUAUCAGCAGGGAAGAAAAUGACGGUACCUGACUAAGGAGCCCCGGCUAACUACGUG
RNAcentral lists this ribosomal RNA (480 nucleotides) under uncultured bacterium. RNAcentral's name for it is "partial 16S ribosomal RNA". It matches the Rfam family "Bacterial small subunit ribosomal RNA", at positions 28 to 507 of the family's 1533-position model. The record is from RNAcentral.